This 238-nucleotide ribosomal RNA is filed under the name uncultured bacterium. RNAcentral describes it as "partial 16S ribosomal RNA". It matches the Rfam family "Bacterial small subunit ribosomal RNA", at positions 15 to 236 of the family's 1533-position model. The record is from RNAcentral.
GAUCAGGCUCAGGAUGAACGCUGGCGGCGUGCCUAACACAUGCAAGUCGAGCGAAGCGGUUUUAAGGAAGUUUUCGGAUGGAAUUAAAACUGACUGAGCGGCGGACGGGUGAGUAACGCGUGGGUAACCUGCCUCAUACAGGGGGAUAACAGUUAGAAAUGGCUGCUAAUACCGCAUAAGCACACAGCUUCGCAUGGAGCAGUGUGAAAAACUCCGGUGGUAUGAGAUGGACCCGCGU